UGACCGUAUUGGCUGACUGAUGCAGGAUUUCACAAGGGUCGGCAACGAUUCUUGUUAAACUCGAUCUCAAAUC
Molecule: ribosomal RNA, 73 nt
Filed under: soil fungal sp. SA9-6
Lineage: Eukaryota; Fungi
Description: partial 25S ribosomal RNA
Source: RNAcentral